This 71-nucleotide transfer RNA is filed under the name Candidatus Falkowbacteria bacterium RBG_13_39_14. Its description in RNAcentral is "tRNA-Ala". It matches the Rfam family "tRNA". From Rfam's summary of the family: Transfer RNA (tRNA) molecules are approximately 80 nucleotides in length. Their secondary structure includes four short double-helical elements and three loops (D, anti-codon, and T loops). Further hydrogen bonds mediate the characteristic L-shaped molecular structure. tRNAs have two regions of fundamental functional importance: the anti-codon, which is responsible for specific mRNA codon recognition, and the 3' end, to which the tRNAs corresponding amino acid is attached (by aminoacyl-tRNA synthetases). tRNAs cope with the degeneracy of the genetic code in two manners: having more than one tRNA (with a specific anti-codon) for a particular amino acid; and 'wobble' base-pairing, i.e. permitting non-standard base-pairing at the 3rd anti-codon position. The record is from RNAcentral. Lineage: Bacteria; Candidatus Falkowiibacteriota.
GGGCCUGUAGUAUAGUGGUAGAACGCCGCAUUCGCAUUGCGGGAACGGGAGUUCGAUUCUCCCCAGGUCCA